RNAcentral lists this ribosomal RNA (447 nucleotides) under uncultured Methanolinea sp. RNAcentral's name for it is "bacterial SSU rRNA". It matches the Rfam family "Archaeal small subunit ribosomal RNA", at positions 892 to 1338 of the family's 1478-position model. The record is from RNAcentral. Lineage: Archaea; Methanobacteriati; Methanobacteriota; Methanomicrobia; Methanomicrobiales; Methanoregulaceae.
AGCCUGCGGUUUAAUUGGACUCAAACGCCGGGCAGCUCACCGGAUAAGACAGCUGGAUGAUAGCCGGGCUGAAGACUCUGCUUGACUAGCUGAGAGGAGGUGCAUGGCCGUCGUCAGUUCGUACUGUGAAGCAUCCUGUUAAGUCAGGCAACGAGCGAGACCCACGCCAACAGUUGCCAGCAUGUCCUCCGGGAUGAUGGGGACACUGUUGGGACCGCUCUGCUAAAGAGGAGGAAGGAAUGGGCAACGGUAGGUCAGCAUGCCCCGAAUUAUCCGGGCUACACGCGGGCUACAAUGGUCAGGACAAUGGGUAUCGACACCGAGAGGUGGAGGCAAUCUCCUAAACCUGUCCUUAGUUCGGAUUGUGGGCUGCAACUCGCCCACAUGAAGCUGGAAUCCGUAGUAAUCGCGUUUCAAAAUAGCGCGGUGAAUAUGUCCCUGCUCCUU